AUAGCCGGCACGACGACAACGGCGACGCGCCUCAGUAGGAGGUGAGAGGCCGCAAUUCCGAAAUGCAGAUGCACCGUGUGGGAGGCCGAAGUUCACUUCCCGUGCCUCCCACUCGCCGAUUGCGGGACACGAGCCGCAGAUGGCGCCUCCGUCGCGGCGCGCGCCUCGCCGAGUGACUCAAUAUCCGCGCUCAGUUGUUUACGUUUGCGUUCGCGAAUCGCGCGGCUCCAGUGCAGAGAGGCCGAGGCCUCCCUCAUGGCCAAAUUUCUCGUCCGCUGCAAGAAACGCACCCCGGCGAGUCCCAGCGAGCCUCCAAGCCCCUCGUCCCGGAGAGCGGCAAGGAUGUGGACCUCACCGAGGAGACCCAGGAGAAGAGACCCCAUUCGGGACCCCACCCGAGGUCUCCCGAUUCUCCAGGAUCCUCCACCUGGACCACCCCAUCGCCGAGCUGUUCAGUUAUUCGGGUAGUGCGCUGAAUUUGUUGGACUUCAGGCCCGGGGCCUUCCUCUCCAAGCGCUUCGGCGGUCGCAAGAAUCGUGGCAACGAUCUGCGCCGCAGUAAUAGUUUCAAGUUCGAAAGGUUCGAAAGGAAGGAUAACGCCGACUCCCCUGGAGGAUACGGAUCUUGUACGCUGCAAAAGCAGAUAUCACUUUGCGAUGAUUACUGUCUUCCUGUUGAUUUUGUAAAUAAAAGACGACCAGUCAGCCUUGGAGCUCAUCAUUUUUCUAGUCCCGAUGGAGAACGAGUUGAAAUAAUCGAAAAUUACUCUGAUCCAAGAGAUUCAAAAGCAUACUUGCAGCCGGGUGAAGAGGCGUCAGCCAAAUUAUAUUCUAGUCCUGACUCAAAGUAUAGUCAACCCUGUGAAGAGAGAUUACGAGCCCUCGAGAGUGCGGGAGGGAGGAAGGCGGAGGAUGGGAGUUCGCCGGCUUGGGCUGGGACGCCGUACUACUACGCGGACAUCCACAAGAUCCGAUCCUCGAAGACGGAAUCGGCGCGUCGGCAGGCGAGCUUGGGGAAGAGCGUGAGCUUGGACACAGCAGACGAUGCCUGGAUGCCGACCCGGGAGCCGAGGAGGACUCCGGCAGUGAGCUCAGGCGCCUUGCCCGACUCCCGACGCAACACGCUCUACAUCCCGGAGCGCGCCUCCUUGGAGGAGUCGUUGGGCAGCGAGCUCCCCUCUGAUGAGGAGCUGGUCGCCGGCUGCCAAGCCUAUGACUGGGACUCGCCCACGCGAAUCCUCGACGAGCUUGAUCUAGACGAAAUGUCGCAAAAGAGACAUGUCUACGAGACCGCCUUCGACUCGCAAGUCAGCAGAUCCGAUGAAGACUCGGAGAUCCAACGGGUGGCGAGCAGUUCGUUCCUGCAAGGGACGCUGGGAUCCCGUUCGAGCGAGAGCCUCCGUCGCUUCCGGCCGAUCGUCUCCUCGGAGUCGGCCGAGUUCUUCCGACCCAACGUCUGCCGGUCGCUGGCCAAGAGACGCCCGAUCCCGACGACGGCGCCCAAGGCUACCAUCGAGGACCUCAACGACGACCUGGACGCCUUGGGCAUCGAAGACCGACUCCAGCCCCAGCCCCAAGCGCAACCCCAACCCUCGUCGAGCACGACACGCGAGACCCAGACUCCGCCGUCCACCACCCCGCUGCCGCCCAAGUUCCACUCCCUCCACUCCAUAGCCACCGCCCAGAGCUCACCGAGCAUCCGCCAAGACUUGUCCCUCUCGGCCAGCUGCACCAACUUCAAGAAGGACGCGAAUGCGCCCGGGGUGCCGAAGCCGCAUCCGCGCUCCGCCCGGCGUCCUUUCCCUAGUUCAACCAAAGUCCUGGAGAUCAAGUCCCGGCCGGAACUCAAGUACUCGAGCACCGAGUCGGUGACGUGCAGUAGCAGCGGGGGCAGCCUCGAGUCGAUCCGGAGUUCGACGAGCGAGGACAACAGGAGCACGACGUCGACAGGGAGUCACAUGUCCAGCAGCAUCAGUUCCAAUAGCUCCGAGUCGGCGAUCCAGAGCUCCAGCUCCAGCUACCACUGCCCGAUCACGCUGUCCAAGUUCUUCCACCAGCAGAACAAGCUCCACAUCCUCUCGCCGAUCUCGGACAAGUCGUCGCAGGAGCCGUCAGAGCGCUCGUCUGAGGACAACCGGGUGGCCUCGCAGAGGAACUCCCCGAAGACCUGCUCGACGUCGUGGAGGCCGAGGCGGGAGAGACCCUCCAGAAAGACACCAAAAGUGCCAAAAAGCGGGCGCCGUUCAAGAAGAACCUGCCCCACCUGA
This 2266-nucleotide long non-coding RNA is filed under the name Bemisia tabaci. RNAcentral's name for it is "lncRNA ENSSSA2NGG001110". Lineage: Eukaryota; Metazoa; Arthropoda; Insecta; Hemiptera; Aleyrodidae. The record is from RNAcentral.